ACACGCCACAUCUGCCACACUGUCGAUAAUGUCCAUUUUAGGUAUUGUAGGCCGUCCGGAUGCCGUCAGAACGGAUCGAUUUAUGUAUUGCGGGGAAUGGAGCUUCUCGCAAAAGCUCCGAAACGAUAUGUUUAUUUGCGCCAAGUUGCCCGCUCUUGCAUAACUUAGGGCAGACGAGUAAGACGCACCAUUGAACGUAUAGAAAUCUCGUUUUGCCUUUUAGCCUGUAGCCGAAUGCAUGCAUCAGGAAAAAAAAAGUAGCCCAUUAUCUAAACAAAUCCCCAUCCCACUGCUUGCACUUGAAUGCAAAUUGAAAUGGGGCGCCUCCGUGAAAUUUCGUACCAAUCUCAUCAUCAGCAGUCCCAAACCAUCCGCCCCGUGUAAGGGAAAGCUUACAUAACGCUGUUGCCCAGUGUUGUUGUGGAAUCGUACAGCCCCGGGUAUGAGUAAAGAAGCAAUGCUCCGAUCGAUCCGAUCGGAUAUGUCUCCCAUAUAUAUAUAUACUGAAACGGAAAUCGACGAAACAGACACGAUCCCCGUAGUAUCAUAUCGUACGAGCGUGUUUGCGUGUUACGCGCAAAAUAGUAAAACCACUAGACGAGUUUCACUUUUUUUUCUGCUCCUGCGUACACUGCAAUAAAAGAACCGUCUGGGAGAGCGUAAAUCAGCGUUCCGGGGUGACAUGCACGUGUAUACGGGGUGACUUUCGAUCUUCGCCGUUCGAGAGCCGGUGGAAUGGGGCUGCUCAAGCAAUAAAAUUGCUUGAUUUACUCUCGCGUUUAUUGGACACGGCACGAACAUUCAAAAUGGGAGGAACGGAGGACAGGGCGCGAUUACGCUAAUGCUCCUCAGAGCACUCUCGUACACACGUGUGUGUUUGUCACACUGUAGUAAAAUCACAUGAUGCAUAUAUGCCUAGCUUGUAUGUCACGGAGCAAGCGUAAUUGCUAGCUUCUCGGGAACGUACGUGGUAUCGAUCGAUAAUGUGCGGGUGACUGAUUUGCCGAGGUUCUAUUAAAAUAUGAAGAAGUUACGAGAAUGGACAUUUUAACAGAACACCUUCCAGUGAUUGUGGGAUCCGCAAACGGGCGGUGGUAGUUUUUCAGUUGCAAGCUUCUCGCACGACGAGGUGCGAGAAAUCGUCACCAAUGCCUUUGGACGUGGAUGACCAAGUGCGACAAGUGAUGUCAGCCUGACGAUGGAAUUAGCAAACACCCCCCCUACCAGAGGGCCAGGGGGCGUGUUACGUAAGCCCUGGCCUACAGAUCGUACAGUAGCACCACAUCAAACCCGUACACGUGUGACUGUUGCACUGCCACUGUAGCCAUGUGGUGCGCGUGAAGUAAACAUCCUGUCCCAACAGGUUUUUGGGACCAAAAGUUUAAUGUCACUGGUGGUCGUCCGAUUUUCGACUAUAGGGAGUGUUGUCUAUGGAUACGAGUGGCAAAAGACAUCUAUUCUACAGUCUGGACAAAUAGUCCCACCACUUCAAUCGAAUCGGACUCUUCAAGGAACUGCCUAACGAGUUCUCCUGCCCAUCCUUCUCCAAGCCCCACAGUAGACGUAGAAGUUUGUCGGAAAAUAGACUGCAAAAAAAAUAAUGCAAAGUAAGCCAAUUAGUGUUGUCCCAUAUCUGUGUCUUCUUGGGGAUUUCCCCAAACCAGUCGUUGCCAAGUUCACCAAGUCUUGCUUACCGAAGCGAUUGUGACGUUUUAGUAGUGAGGGGUGAGCGAAAGUAAUGAACGUCUGGCUUGGGGUUUUGUUUUUUUUUGUUUCACAAGGAAGCGUUACUGCGUUAUCUGGUCAUGUCUCAUCCAAGUAAUUGUAUUCACAGAACUGGCCAAACGCACGCAUUUUAAUGGCCAAAUCCAGGGAACUGUUGACGUACGGUGGCAGCUCCGAGGCGAGAUAGCUCAUGCAAUGCUGUGUUGUCUUUAACAGUGCGUCACUGUUUGUUUAAGCUCUAAUUGUUGUUUAUACUUUUGCAGCGCACACCAACGCUACCGAUUCACGCGCCCGGCUGCAUUCGUGGGAGACGGAUGUGGUGUUGUUGAUUUGCAAAUUGUCUUAAAAAUAGUCACAGCCAGCAGUCGAGUGGCAUCAUCAUCUUUAUUUCACGUGCUAUGCCCUCUCUCUCUCUCUUUAUCUCUCGCUCACACUCGCAUCCCUUCCAGAGGUGCAUGUUGUUUCGGAAAAUUGUUCAAACGCCAGUACGCGUUGUGUUAAUGUCAAACCAUCAGCCAAUGCAAAUAUUGUGCAUUCGCUGCGCAUUGGUCCCUUGGAAGAGGAGGGAGGAGAAGAAGGGGUAUGUGUGUAGUCUGAAAGGUCCCUCGCCCAACUCCGCGCAAUGCAACCGGGGCCGGAAGGAGCUACAAUGAGACAAAAAAAACAAACCGGUCCUCUCCUCAGGAGGGAACUCCAAGGACAGCAGGAUUGUUUGCGAGGAUGGUAAGAAGGUAGAAUAAUUUGGGAAAGAUGUAAAAAGGGGUAUUAGUAGGGUAGGGGUAUGCACAUGAGCCAUACACAUACACAUCUUCCCAUGACAUCAUCAGUCCAGCCAGCUUGUGCCAGCAAUGUGUUGUACUGUAGUGAUUCCUUUUUGCCGCUGCUGUUAGCCUAUUUUGGUGUGUUGUGAUUCAUACCAUAACUUCACUGGCCCGGCACCACCCUACCCCAUACUAAAACAAAACGUGCAAAAGCAACAGCAGCAGUAACGAAAAUAAAGACCCUCGGAUGCCGCUGUCGUCAUGCCGCCAUGUGUGUUGGAAAAAAUGGAACCACGAAUGUUGUUCUGUUUGAAAGUACAGCACCAAAAAAAAAAAAAGAAAAAAACGUAAGAAAGAAAAGCAAACAAAAUCAAUGAGAUCAUUUUUCACGGCUGCGAAACAUUGGUGAAUAAGUGUGUUACUCACGGACGAUGAGUGCGUUAGCCGGUGGUGAGAUGAGAUGCCUAGCUCACUAUGAUGAGUGAGAGUGAAAUCUAAUGAUACACAGCGUUUUUUUUAGGUCAUGUAGCAAGUGUGUCUUCCUGUUUAACACAGUGUGCUGGUCGAGAUAUAACAACAGUAGAGGACGUAAACUAAACUGCUUUGCAAUGUCAAAAUUGCCAUUUUUGGUUUUAAACAUGUAGACAAUUGUUGUGUGAGCUGAGCGCCGGUUCACUAUAGUGAGACGGUGUUCACUUAAAGACUGCACAUGUGAUGUGCCAUUCUAUCUCACCUCUCCAUGGAUGGUUAUUUGUCUGGCCUUUUUGGGAAGGUCUUCUCCUGUCACCGGUGUUCUAGAAUUGUGAACAAAAGGUUACUAAGGAAAAUAAUAUAUAAAUAUUUUUAUAUAAUCUCAAAAUGAAUUUGACGGGUCUAGCAUGUAUGUUUCUGGGCGGUCCGGUGGCCGAGGCGAUAACACAACAGGACCUGGGUUCAAAUCCUAUCCAGACCGCUUCCCUCGUACGUGGGGCUUGACUACUCCACAGAAGUAGUAGUUGACCAAGUCACAGAAGGCCAGAAAUGACAGUUCGCGCCCUCUCUAGGUUGUAGUGCCAAGGAAGAAGAAAAAGUGUUUAUGGAAUGACAAUGACGAGCUCCAGAAGCUGCUGUACGGUGAUCUCACCAUGGUGCAGUCUACUGGUGGGCUAGUCAUGUCAGCAGAAUGACACUGGACGACACACGACCGUUAAGUAUACGUAGGCCGUUCACCUAGAUAGAGGAUGCGCCAAGGAGAGGGACCAAUAUACAGGUCUAGCAGACGAUAGCUCUAGACCCCAGUAUCGAGAGGGAAAAAAGCAAUCACUUAAAAAAACGAAAAAUUGGUGCAUUUAAUUUGUAGUUGUCAAACAUAUUCUUGCUGUGAUAGCUCUUCGCAAACAUCCCGCACUGAUAGCUCUUUACAAACCUCGCACAAAUUCUGAUGCGAGUUCGGAAACACAAACACCAACAGGCGAAAACGAAGAAGAGCCCCCAAAAACACCUCCGCCAAUCGCCGCUUGACAAGUAAUAUGUUCCUGAUAACAUCACUCCAUUCCCGAUAAGGUGUUGAAAAAAGAACUGUAUUCGAUUGAUUCUCUACUGCUGCUUUCUAGUUCCUUCGAAUCGAUUUUGCACUGAUUUGAGCAUACAGCUGUAGAGAAUAGCGUUGCAAAAAAAAAAAAAAA
Long non-coding RNA from Anopheles stephensi (Asian malaria mosquito), 4150 nucleotides. RefSeq lists it as uncharacterized. The record is from RefSeq and is a predicted model, not a curated record. The transcript is spliced from 2 exons. Lineage: Eukaryota; Metazoa; Arthropoda; Insecta; Diptera; Culicidae.